CCGUGGGUCUGCCUGCAUCGCUAGCCUGACUUCACCGCCACCCAAGGUAUAACCGCACAUUCUAUUUGUGUCGUCGUUUACGUAACCGAGUUAGGCGUCUCCCGUUCGAAAGAGAUACGGUUGGAAACGACCGUAUCUAUUUCGAAUUGUCCACGUUAUUUGGACAGCCCGAGGAUGCGUAGAUGGGGUUAGUUUCCAGGUCCACUCCGAUCUGAGAUAGAGUUUCAGCAUCACCUCCCUGUUGUUCUCCGGGUACACAACCUCCCCGUCGAGACGUGUAUUUGGAGAACAGCGGGGAGGUGCUGCCGAAAUUUCGUCUCAGAUCGGAGUUGACAUGGAAACUAACUCCAUCUACGCAUCCUCGGGUGGGAUUAGGACCUAUCCUCACCUAUUAGUUAAUAGGGCUAUCGUGUAGAUGCAUUCUGUUCUUACAUUACUGCAUGAUAUGUUAGAGGAUGGAUGACCAUCAGUGGAUGUACACUGGCCGGCCAAGUCAGAGAGACAUCUCCUUGGAAUGGAUUGAGAAGAUCGAGGCUUUCUUAGAGCAAGCAUUCGCCAGGGCUAAAGGCGCCCGUAUGACCUGGUGUCCAUGCGUGAAGUGUGCAAACACGCGGAAGCGUACGAAGGAGGUCAUGGGGCAGCAUCUUUGCAAGUUUGGGUUUAUGCAGGGCUAUACCCGAUGGACCUACCACGGUGAAGGUGAUCGCACGAGGGAGGAGGUUGUGAGACCACGUGUCGAUGGUUUUGAUGAUCUUGGGCUAGUCGAAAUUCGACAGGAUUCCGUCUUACCAGGAGAUGAUGUAUACAUUGUGGCCCAAAAGGCCACACAAGUUUAUUAUACGUCGUACCCGUGCAAAACUGAUGCACGUCUUAAGGGUUGGGAUGUUGUGCACAAGGUAUCGCCGCACGGUGGAGUACCGGUACCAAACAAGGAAGAUUACAACCUUGACACGGACACAUAUGAAGGGGAGUUCUAUCAAGAAGAGGGUCUAGAAGGGACUUUUGUGAUAGACUUAACUGAAGCCAUGGAUGUGGCCAUUAUUGUUGAAGAUGACGAUGACGUUGAGGUUGAAGAUGUGAGGGACUUACAAUUACUUGAGCAGUUAUGCUUAGACAAUGACAAUAACGAUAUCGAUGCUCCUCCAGUUAGUGAUGAGUACCUAGACAUGGCUGGUACAGAUGAUGAGAUGGAGGAUGCACCGAAUGCCGGUUAUGAAGAUGAUGAUUAUUUCUAAUACAUGUAAUAUUAUGUUAUCAUUAAUUUGCAUCUCUAUCUAAGUACAUGAUGUUUAAUUGUGGUUACUGAUUUACUCUUCUUACAUGCAGGUCACUGAACAAAGAUGGUGGGCGGCAUGAGGAACGUGAGGUCACGGUACGCCCGACCGAGGGAGGAGCCUCAGGAGCAGCCUGAGGGGUCGGGGAGCAGGUCGAGGAGCCGGUCGAGGCGGACCUCGAGCAGGAGGACCAGGAGCGUUAGCAGUCUUCAGGGAGAGACACCCAUGGUGCAGCAGCAGGAGACGCCCACCUGGGAGUAGGAGGAGCAGGAGACGACCACCGGGGCGCACGAGGAGCAGGAGCAGGAGCAGGAGCAGGAGGAGGAGGACGAGGACGAGGACGAGGACGAGGACGACGGGGCCCCGCCAGAUAUCUGGCAACGAGGUCCCAAUCAGCUUCCCAAUCGACCGAUAUUCAUCGACCAUCGCCCAUUGAUUCGGCCACGAGGGCAAAAGUAUGUUUCAAAGCACUACUUCGACAUUCCUUAUGUUCAAAUUCACAAUAUGAACUACUAAUUUUGGUUAACCACUUGUGCAGGUCCUUUAAGGUACUAGUAGCGGGUGUUGCUCACCAACGACACCCUAGUACCAUCCUUGGUGGCUUGUGCAGGUUGCACUUCCCUGGCGUGGUCACUCUUGCGGGGGCUCCGGAGCCGGCAUGGACAUUUCAGCACUACGGAGGCGCGCCGGAUACCACAGAUGUACUUGGCAGGAACUUCGGCAACAAGGCCUUGAGGGUGAUCAAGGAGAUGUGGGUAAGAAUUCCUCGCACUUGCUCACCACUUCACAUUCUUUAGUCCUUCUAUACAUAAUGACUGUCUACAUCACGUGUACAUGCAGGAUUUCUUUAGAGUGGAGCCCAAAUAUGAGGAACAGGCCAAUCACAUUUUUGGAACAAAAUGUGUCAAGAGCAUCAAGGACAUGCACUACGAGGCUGAAAGCCCUAGUUUGGUUUUGGAUAAUUGAUGAAACCCUAGUACUAACCUCUAUACUAAGUGUGUGUAGACUUAAUGAGGUUGGUACAUGCCAAGUGAUGGAGCAAGUGAUGAUCAUGGUGAUGAUGGUGAUGACCACAAGAUGAUCAAGUGCUCAACUUGGAAAAGAAGAAAGAGAAAAACAAAAUCCUAUGGAGAUCAAGGCAAAGGUAUUGCUUAGGGUUUUGUUUUUGGUGAUCAAGACACCAUAGAGGGUGUGAUCACAUUUAGGAUAGAUAGCCGUACUAUAAAGAGGGGAAUUCUUUGGCUAAGCGGUUAUCAAGUGCCACUAGGUGUUAUUGUUCAUGUGCAUACAUUUAGAACCUAGUGAGCUAACUUAACUCCUUCGAAGAAAAUGAUUGUGAAAUUGCUAACACACGUGCACUUGUUGGUUUACACGUUGUGGUGUUGGCACACUUUGAUUCGGCGCUUUUCGAGAAAAUGAAGUGCAUAUUUUCUAUUGUGCCGGAGGGAAAUUUGGAGAAGUCGCGGGAGUGUUUCUCGCUGAGGAACACUCACCGGACGCUGGCUCAGAGGCACCGGACGCUGUGUCUGAGCGUCCGGUGUGCAGGCUGCCCGACUCGGUUAGGGUUAGGCACCGGACGAUAGGCACCGGACGCUGGCUUGAGCGUCCGGUGGUUAGCGUCCGGUGUGCGGGCGUUUUGCGACCCUCUCUGCGCAUGGGUCCGGUGAGCACCGGACGCUGAGGGUGCGUCCGGUGACCCUGCGAGUUUGUGGAGCUCUCUGCGCAUGAGUCCGGUGUGCACCGGACGCGUCCGGUGCCAACCUGCUCAGCGUCCGGUGCUCUGCAGGUUACCGUUAGAUUCUGACACGCGGCUGACGUUGGAGCACCGAACGCAAGGGCUGAGCGUCCGGUGCCCCUUUAAGAGCGUCCGGUGACCCCGUGUUUCGCCCAGUGAAAGAGCCAACGGCUCUAUUUGCUUGAGGGGGUAUAAAUACGUGUUUGGCCGGCUUGGGGCUUACUCUCUUGGCAUUCUAACAGACAUAACAUCCUUGUGAGCCUAAGCAAACACCUCCCACUCAUCUCCUUCAUAGAUUAAACAUCUUUGUGAGAUUGGGAGUGAUUCCAAGUGCAUUUGCUUGAGUGAUUGCAUCUAGUGGCACUUGGGGAUCGAUUUGGCUGCGGUUUUCUUGUUACUCUUGGUGGUUGCCGCCACCUAGACGGCUUGGAGCAGCGGAGGAGGAUUGGCACGAGUUGGUGAUUGUUCGUGGCCAUCUCCCGGUGAUUGUGAGAGGUUUGUGCCUACCUCGGCGGAGAGCCAAAGGCAACAUUAGUGGAUUGCUCGUGUCAUUGAGCUACCUCACUUGUGGGUAGGUUCUUGUGGUGUCCUAGUGAGGACGAGGUUCGUGCUACACCUCUUAGCCACCGAACCACCAAGUGUUGGUCGACACAACGGGGACGUAGCGUGCCGGCAAGCACGUGAACCUCGGGAGAAAAAUCGGUGUCUCAAUUGUGUUUGAUUGGCAUUCUCCCGGUGCUUGAUUGUUUAUAUUGGUGAUUGGUUCAUCCCCUACACGGCGGUAUAAAUAUCUCAUCUUAUCUUUACUUACCGCAAACUAGUGUAAUUAGUUUAGUUGCUUACUUUGACUUGUGUAGCUUAGUUCUCUAGUGUAUCUUGUAAAGUCUUAGUUCUUGUGUGCAUAGAGAUCUUAGCAACUAGAAUUGUUGGGUAGGUGGCUUGCAAACACCCCUUUAGAGCUAGAGCAAAAAGCUUCGCUUUGUUAUUUACUAACCUUUUGCUCUAGUGAGUUUGUAGAAUUUUUUAAAUAGGCUAUUCACCCCCCCUCUAGCCAUAUUAGGACCUUUCAGAGGCGCGCAUCCAGGCAAUCAUAAAUUACAAGGCCCAGUACGAGCAUGUGAAGAUACACAAAGAUGUCGCCAGGGACACUACACUGACCAAGGAACAGUUCAUGCUUGUAAGUAACAUUAAUUUCUUGGUAGUUUAAGUAACGUUAAUUUGGUCUUGUUAAAUUUCAUGUUCUUGAUCACGUGUAGGUGCCACCGCAUUGGGUGGAGGGCAAAGGGAUGUGCUGGGAAAUGAUGGUGGACUGGUGGUGCAGCCAGGAAUGGUGGGACCAGCACGACGCUGCCCGCGUGCGACGCAGAAAGAUGCCAGGUCCAUCACACCAUCAAGGGAGCCUUACCCUCGAGGAAUACAUAGAAAGAUAUGUAAGUAUAAGGAUUUAUUGAUUUAUUCUAACGGUCAUAUGUGCAUACCCUCUAAUCAUCUUCUUGUUUUUUUCGCAGGAAGCCGCACACCCUGGGCAGGAUAUAGGCCCGUUGGGGGCCUAUGCUCUGUCCAAGAAGGGGAAGGCGACAGCCGACAUCACCUACAGCUCGGACGACCCUCCUGAGGCGUACACCAACUCCACCGUCCAUAGCCGGAUCAGCUCAUACUGUGAUUCAGCACAUGCGAUCCAUGGCCCUGACUUCGAUCCCUAUAAUGAGGCCAUUAGUGGAGAAGCAGCCAUGAGGGCAGGGGGAGGCAAGCAACAUGGGCGGUACUGGGUUGCCGACCCCUUGAUUGACUCCUCGAGGACUCCUACUCUCUCCCAGAUCAGAGCAAAGGACAGGCGCCAGGGCCAAAGCAGCUCUGGGGUACGCUCGAGGCCGACCGCAGCCGACUGCAUCAUCACCAACCUCCAGGUUCUCACUGUUUCAUUCACGCUCAAUCGUUCAAUCAUAACAUAGCUUUGUAACACAAGUGUUCAACCUUGUAGGCCCAGCUUUCGCAAAAGGAAGUCAGGAUCACCGAGUUAGAGACACAAUACAGGGAGAUGGCCAUCUACAUGCGAACUCGUGGGCUCAGAUGGGAGCACCUCCGCCACCAAACUUGUACGUUCCACCCGCUUUAGGUGGACCUAGCCCAGUGAGUUUCACUUCACUUAACCAUGCAAUCUCUACCAUUGUAGAUGUAGAUGUAAUUGUGGUUGCAUGCCAUCGAGCCGCUGUGGAUGUCGGCCGGCCAUCGUGCCGCUGUGCUUGUCGGCCUUCGUGCUGAUGCUUUUCUUGCAGGUCUUGGGAACCUCCCCGUGCACGGGAGGUGCUGCCAAAAUUUUCAUUUGAAACCACUAUGUAUAUCUUCAACUUCAAGUAUUUAAUCUCAAAAUUCACUUAUGACACGUUUGUCUCAUCCUUUGUGCAGCUUCACUCCCAGGGUUCUACUCAAGCGCCCAAUGAGCAAAGUCCUCAAGACGGUGGGUGGAGCGACCAUGUCAAUCCGUACCAACCUCCAGGCGAUUCAUGGGGCAGACGAGAUGGAUUCGGUUGGUGAACUUGUAGUUUGUUCAUGGAAUUUGUCGUUUUAUCGGACGUGUUGUUGAACUUGUGGUUUCCUCAGACUUGUGAUGGACUUGCUGAUGAACAUGUGUUUAUGUAUGUGACAUGUACGUUAUAUGUAUGUGAGAGAUUUGGUAUAUCGUGGUUAUUGUGGCAAGUGUGUGAUAUAUUGUGAUAUUUGUGUG
RNAcentral lists this long non-coding RNA (5734 nucleotides) under Sorghum bicolor (sorghum). RNAcentral's name for it is "long non-coding RNA (SBIC_LNC002005)". The record is from RNAcentral. Lineage: Eukaryota; Viridiplantae; Streptophyta; Magnoliopsida; Poales; Poaceae.